GUGUCCUCUGUCCCCGAAGUGUGCUUGCGAGAAGGGCGAGAGAGGACCUAGCGGCCCGGCGGGAAAGAAGGGUCGCCCAGGUGAGGAUGGAGGCCCUGGGGCUAAAGGUCAAAAGGGUGAAUCUGGUUUGAGUGGACUUCCUGGUCGUGAGGGUACAGAGGUGAGGGGCUGAAGCAGGGUCACAAA
Long non-coding RNA from Sinocyclocheilus anshuiensis, 186 nucleotides. RefSeq lists it as uncharacterized. The transcript has 3 exons. The record is from RefSeq and is a predicted model, not a curated record. Lineage: Eukaryota; Metazoa; Chordata; Actinopteri; Cypriniformes; Cyprinidae.